Molecule: non-coding RNA, 132 nt
Filed under: Nitrospinota bacterium
Lineage: Bacteria; Pseudomonadati; Nitrospinota
Source: RNAcentral
GAAACUGAAUAGAGUUCAGGUGCUCGCUAUGAGCCUAAUAGGGAACCCCGUAAACUCGGGGACGGGCCCGCCGCUGUAAUCGAGGACGAACACCGCAAAACGCCACUGGAACAAUAGAGGUGUUGGUUAUCC